RNAcentral lists this ribosomal RNA (253 nucleotides) under uncultured bacterium. Its description in RNAcentral is "partial 16S ribosomal RNA". It matches the Rfam family "Bacterial small subunit ribosomal RNA", at positions 524 to 776 of the family's 1533-position model. The record is from RNAcentral.
UACGUAAGGGGCAAGCGUUGUCCGGAAUUACUGGGCGUAAAGCGUGCGCAGGCGGCUUUGCAAGACAGAUGUGAAAUCCCCGGGCUUAACCUGGGAACUGCAUUUGUGACUGCAUGGCUGGAGUGCGGCAGAGGGGGAUGGAAUUCCGCGUGUAGCAGUGAAAUGCGUAGAUAUGCGGAGGAACACCGAUGGCGAAGGCAAUCCCCUGGGCCUGCACUGACGCUCAUGCACGAAAGCGUGGGGAGCAAACAGG